Molecule: ribosomal RNA, 995 nt
Filed under: uncultured Acidobacteriota bacterium
Lineage: Bacteria; Pseudomonadati; Acidobacteriota
Description: bacterial SSU rRNA
Rfam family: Bacterial small subunit ribosomal RNA
Source: RNAcentral
AGAGUUUGAUAUGGCUCAGAGCGAACGCUGGCGGCGUGCUUAACACAUGCAAGUCGAGUGCGCAGUUUUCUGUAGCAAUACAGGGAAUGGGCGCACGGCGCACGGGUGAGUAACACGUGGGCAACCUGCCCUCCAAAAGGGGAUAACCCGCCGAAAGGCGGGCUAAUACCGUAUGACAUCACGAUGGCUCCGGCUGUUGUGAUCAAAGGCCGCAAGGCCGUUGGGGGAGGGGCCCGCGCCCGAUUAGCUAGUUGGCGAGGUAACGGCUCACCAAGGCUUUGAUCGGUAGCCGGUCUGAGAGGAUGGCCGGCCACACUGGAACUGAGACACGGUCCAGACUCCUACGGGAGGCAGCAGUGGGGAAUAUUGCGCAAUGGGCGAAAGCCUGACGCAGCGACGCCGCGUGGGGGAUGAAGCUUCUCGGAGUGUAAACCCCUUUCGACCCGGAAGAAUGUCCCGCAAGGGAUUGACGGUACGGGUAUAAGAAGCCCCGGCUAACUACGUGCCAGCAGCCGCGGUAAUACGUAGGGGGCCAGCGUUGCUCGGAAUUACUGGGCGUAAAGGGUUCGUAGGCGGUGUGGCAAGUCGGAAGUGAAAUCUCCAGGCUCAACUUGGAGGCUGCUCCCGAAACUGCCAUGCUAGAGUGCGGGAGAGGCCAGUGGAAUUGCAGGUGUAGCGGUGAAAUGCGUAGAUAUCUGCAGGAACACCCGUGGCGAAGGCGGCUGGCUGGACCGCAACUGACGCUGAGGAACGAAAGCUAGGGGAGCAAACAGGAUUAGAUACCCUGGUAGUCCUAGCCCUAAACGAUCAGGACUUGGGGUGCAUCCCGACGGGAUGCGUCCCGUAGCUAACGCGUUAAGUCCUGCGCCUGGGGAGUACGGUCGCAAGACUGAAACUAAAGGAAUUGACGGGGCCCGCACAAGCGGUGGAACAUGUGGUUCAAUUCGACGCACGCGAAGAACCUUACCUGGGCUUGAACCGCUACUGACCACGGU